RNAcentral lists this ribosomal RNA (426 nucleotides) under uncultured bacterium. Its description in RNAcentral is "bacterial SSU rRNA". It matches the Rfam family "Bacterial small subunit ribosomal RNA", at positions 355 to 774 of the family's 1533-position model. The record is from RNAcentral.
UCGAGAAUUUUUCACAAUGGGCGCAAGCCUGAUGGAGCGACGCCGCGUGGGGGAUGAAUGGCUUCGGCCCGUAAACCCCUGUCAUUUGCGAUCAAACCUUGCUAUUUAAAAGAUGGCGAGCUGAUAGUAGCGAAAGAGGAAGGGACGGCUAACUCUGUGCCAGCAGCCGCGGUAAUACAGAGGUCCCAAGCGUUGUUCGGAUUCACUGGGCGUAAAGGGUGCGUAGGUGGGUGGGUAAGUCGGAUGUGAAAUCUCGGAGCUCAACUCCGAAAUGGCAUUGGAAACUACCCUGCUAGAGGGUCGGAGGGGGGACUGGAAUUCUCGGUGUAGCAGUGAAAUGCGUAGAUAUCGAGAGGAACACCAGUGGCGAAGGCGAGUCCCUGGACGACUCCUGACACUGAGGCACGAAAGCUAGGGGAGCAAACA